Vidua macroura (Pin-tailed whydah) is the source of this 315-nucleotide long non-coding RNA. RefSeq lists it as uncharacterized. The transcript is spliced from 2 exons. The record is from RefSeq and is a predicted model, not a curated record. NCBI's taxonomy places the organism in Eukaryota, Metazoa, Chordata, Aves, Passeriformes, Viduidae.
GCUCUGGGUGCCGCGAGUGGCGGGGUCCGAGUUAAGUCGUCUUUGUCUGGAGAAGAGGAGCAAAGGGGAGCGCUGAGAUUCUAUAAUCGACUGUACCAAGAGCAGUCACAGAACCCUUGAAUAUCCUGAAUUGGAAGGGACUCACAUUGAUCAUCCAGUCCAUCUCCCAGCCCUGCACAGGACACCACAACAAUCACACCUUGUGCGUGAGAGCGUUCUCCAAAUGUUUCUUGAUCUCUACCACAGCUAUUUUAGCCUGUAAAUCUCGUUGGACAGGUGACAGAGGGAAAGAUAAUAAAUAAUAAUAAAUAAAUA